CAGGUCGGUGGGUGUCUGAUGCUGGGGGUUGAAUUGCUAGAGAGACACCUUAAUAGAUAUCACGCUGUUCAAAGAGGGCGAGUACCGAGUAGCAGCACCUGGCCCUGUUCCCAGGGGCUUCUACGAGGAGUGGAAACGCUGGAACCCCGAGUAUCUCAGCCCCGCUACCUGUUUGCAAAGCCCAGCACCUCUGCUGCCUUCUCUGCGCAAAGGCCCCCACUUCUUUGGAAAACUGCGACUCCAGGCACGCAGGGUGAGUGCUUCAAAACGAGGCUUUGGGUUCUUUUUGGCGAAAGAGGAGGCCUGCAGCUCCGAAGGGUCAAAUGAAGCAAGUCCAGCUACUUACAAGAGACUUAGCUGAAAGCAGCAGUACCAGACAGACAGAAACUUACCUUUUCUCCUGGCCCAAACCAAGAUGCUCUUUAAAAACC
Long non-coding RNA from Calypte anna (Anna's hummingbird), 431 nucleotides. RefSeq lists it as uncharacterized. The transcript is spliced from 3 exons. Lineage: Eukaryota; Metazoa; Chordata; Aves; Apodiformes; Trochilidae. The record is from RefSeq and is a predicted model, not a curated record.